Molecule: ribosomal RNA, 389 nt
Filed under: uncultured bacterium
Lineage: Bacteria
Description: bacterial SSU rRNA
Rfam family: Bacterial small subunit ribosomal RNA
Source: RNAcentral
GACGAACGCUGGCGGCGUGCUUAACACAUGCAAGUCGAGCGGUAAGGCCCUUUCGGGGGUACACGAGCGGCGAACGGGUGAGUAACACGUGGGUGACCUGCCCUCAGCUCUGGGAUAAGCCUGGGAAACCGGGUCUAAUACUGGAUAUGACUCCAUGACGCAUGUUGUGGGGUGGAAAGCCUUGUGCGGCUGAGGAUGGGCCCGCGGCCUAUCAGCUUGUUGGUGGGGUGANAGCCUACCAAGGCGACGACGGGUAGCCGGCCUGAGAGGGCGACCGGCCACACUGGGACUGAGACACGGCCCAGACUCCUACGGGAGGCAGCAGUGGGGAAUCUUGCGCAAGUGGGCGAAAGCCUGACGCAGCGACGCCGCGUGAGGGAUGACGGCCU